CGGGUAGUGCUUGUUCUGCUUGGGGGGCUUUAAGGAAGCAAAUGGACUUUCAGAACAGAGAUUGUCAAUAAAGAACCACCGAGCACGUCCCCUUUUAUUAAGGGGUGUUGGUGAGGAACAUGCCAGUCAACCAAAGGGAUCAAAGCAUGGGCCUUGGAAGGAGGAGAAAGAAGAGGAGAUAGGUCCUUUCCUCCUUCCAUGGAUCUCUUUGGGGAGUGGCACCUAAUCGUGGUAUAAUGGAGGCCCAGCUUAUACACGAUUAUGUAGACCAGUCAUGAACUCCAGAACUCCUCUGAGAAUGCCUCUGUGGCAUUGCCAGCAGCCGAUGUAGAUGUAGUAUCUUUGAGGCAAGUCAACAGCAGCCAAGCACUGAGGAAGAUAAGUGAAUUUCUCAGUGCCGAUCUGUCUAUCUGGUGUCCCGUCCUUCACAGAUCUAGUCAAGACUAUUGCUAUGUUGGAAUGUUGAGAGAUGUCACAUCAAUUCAAAGAAAGGUCUUUCCUUGUUGAAACUCUUGCCUAAUGAUAUCUUUAUUCAUGUGAAAAUACAGGAUGAUUUUCAACUAUAUGAUUAUGUUUAUGUUCAUCAGAAAUGUUAUUUGUCUCUACAGAGUUUGGUUUCAAUGAGCCAGCUAUGUAAUAGAUAUUAAAUAAGCAUGGAAUUUUAUACAUUCAGAAUAUUUGGUUUCUUGUUGUGAUUUUGAUGAACUACAUAUUCAAGCAUUGUUGGUUCAUCCUUAUUUACAAACUAAACAUUUGCUUGUAGCUAAGUAAUAUAGUGACUAGCUUAUUUUAAGAUAAGUCAACUUUUGUUUUCAAUGUUUAAUGUGAAACUGACAAAAAAUUGUUCUUUGAGGUCGCAUACAUAUUUCUCUUUCAAUCGCAUGCAUUCUGCUAUUUUUAACUUACUGCUGUGAGUUAUAUAAACUAAUAGAUGUUUUAUUUCUGUUUUAAUGUGUUUUUUCUAAGAUAAAUAAUUUAUAAUAUUCUAAGGAGA
Molecule: long non-coding RNA, 994 nt
Organism: Phascolarctos cinereus (koala)
Lineage: Eukaryota; Metazoa; Chordata; Mammalia; Diprotodontia; Phascolarctidae
Source: RefSeq, a predicted model, not a curated record